This 240-nucleotide unclassified non-coding RNA is filed under the name soil metagenome. Its description in RNAcentral is "partial internal transcribed spacer 1". The record is from RNAcentral.
CCAAUGAUUGGGAACCAGUUGAGGUCGAUAGAUCUCCUGGUUGCUAAAAUCAAAUACCCAUCUUUGUGCACCUUUUUUAUGUCUCUGGUGGUCGCAAGAGAAGUCUCUUAUUUGGAGGAUCUCUUCUAGUUCAUUUUGAUCCUCGGACAAAUGAAUGAAGCCACCAAAUGGUUGCUAUAACACACUUUUUUGCCGUCCAAAAUAUCUGUCUAACAUUGAUUUGUGUAAAAAUACAUAAAA